GUCCAGACUCCUACGGGAGGCAGCAGUGGGGGAUAUUGCACAAUGGGGGGAACCCUGAUGCAGCGACGCCGCGUGGGUGAAGGAGUAUUUCGGUAUGUAAAGCCCUCUCGGCAGGGAAGAAGCAAGACGGUACCUGACUAAGAAGCCCCGGCUAACUACGUGCCAGCAGCCGCGGUAAUACGUAGGGAGCGAGCGUUGUCCGGAUUUACUGGGUGUAAAGGGUGCGUAGGCGGCCCUGCAAGUCAGAAGUGAAAUCCAUGGGCUUAACCCGUGAACUGCUUUUGAAACUGCAGGACUUGAGUGGAGUAGAGGUAGGCGGAAUUCCCGGUGUAGCGGUGAAAUGCGUAGAGAUCGGGAGGAACACCAGUGGCGAAGGCGGCCUGCUGGACUGCAACUGACGUUGAGGCCCGAAAGCGUGGGGAGCAAACAGGAUUAGAUACCCGCGUA
This 447-nucleotide ribosomal RNA is filed under the name uncultured bacterium. RNAcentral's name for it is "bacterial SSU rRNA". It matches the Rfam family "Bacterial small subunit ribosomal RNA", at positions 329 to 792 of the family's 1533-position model. The record is from RNAcentral.